AGUAUAGUUUUGAGCUUGUAAUGACGAUUUAUUAUUUGAUUAUAUUGGAUGAUGGCAUGCCCGUGAAUAUAGCCCUAUGGAGGGAGAGUGAAUCAUGCAAAUAUUAGUAUUUUGCUUUAUUUAUUCACAGUUUACAUGUUUACGCAGUGCACAACAGUAGGGAAUUUGCCUGAUCAACUUUGUUGGAGCUGGGCAUCAUGUGUUGCUCCUAGAUUUGUUCAAUUUUAAAAAAUGAUUAAAAAUUCAGCAAUAUUAAGUGCUAGCAAAAGCUUAAUGUAAAUUAGAAUUGAAAAAAGGAGGAGGAGGGGCAGAGAGAGAGAGAGAG
RNAcentral lists this unclassified non-coding RNA (325 nucleotides) under Hevea brasiliensis (rubber tree). Lineage: Eukaryota; Viridiplantae; Streptophyta; Magnoliopsida; Malpighiales; Euphorbiaceae. The record is from RNAcentral.